ACACAGAGCAUCUUGUUGCUCAUUCUUGGACUGUCUCUUCAAGAAGACAUAUCAGGGGCUGGUUAGUUUGGUAGCUUAUUUUUCUAAGUGUUUUACAAUUUGAGACUUAUUUUUCAAAUCGUAUUUGUUUUUUUCCCAGUUUAUAUGUAAUGCAAAAAUCAAGAUGUGGUGCUUGAUAGUCUAAGAUAAAAUUUGAAUAUUUAUUGCAUCUAUUUCUUAUGAAGAAACAAUGUAUUUCUUAUGA
RNAcentral lists this long non-coding RNA (244 nucleotides) under Ictidomys tridecemlineatus (thirteen-lined ground squirrel). RNAcentral describes it as "lncRNA (ENSSTOG00000034164.1)". The record is from RNAcentral. Lineage: Eukaryota; Metazoa; Chordata; Mammalia; Rodentia; Sciuridae.